UACAGAGGUCUCAAGCGUUGUUCGGAUUCAUUGGGCGUAAAGGGUGCGUAGGUGGCGCGGUAAGUCGGGUGUGAAAUCUCGGAGCUUAACUCCGAAAUUGCAUUCGAUACUGCCGUGCUCGAGGACUGGAGAGGAGACUGGAAUUCAUGGUGUAGCAGUGAAAUGCGUAGAUAUCGUAAGGAAGACCAGUGGCGAAGGCGGGUCUCUGGACAGUUCCUGACGCUGAGGCACGAAGGCCAGGGGAGCAAACGGG
RNAcentral lists this ribosomal RNA (253 nucleotides) under uncultured bacterium. RNAcentral describes it as "partial 16S ribosomal RNA". It matches the Rfam family "Bacterial small subunit ribosomal RNA", at positions 524 to 776 of the family's 1533-position model. The record is from RNAcentral.